Molecule: ribosomal RNA, 253 nt
Filed under: uncultured bacterium
Lineage: Bacteria
Description: partial 16S ribosomal RNA
Rfam family: Bacterial small subunit ribosomal RNA
Source: RNAcentral
UACGGAGGGCGCAAGUGUUGUUCGGAAUCACUGGGUUUAAAGGGUGCGUAGGCGGCCUGAUAAGUUAGUGGUGAAAUCGUGCCGCUUAACGGUAUACUCGCCAUUAAUACUGUCGGGCUUGAGUAAGUGUAAGGGAGAUGGAAUGCGUGGUGUAGCGGUGAAAUGCAUAGAUAUCUCGCAGAACGCCGAUUGCGAAGGUAGUUUUCUGGCACUUAACUGACGCUGAGGCACGAAAGCGUGGGUAGCGAACAGG